This 363-nucleotide long non-coding RNA is filed under the name Sorghum bicolor (sorghum). RNAcentral's name for it is "long non-coding RNA (SBIC_LNC008451)". The record is from RNAcentral. Lineage: Eukaryota; Viridiplantae; Streptophyta; Magnoliopsida; Poales; Poaceae.
UAGCUACAUAGGAUUAGAACUAGAAGGAGUCAAUCUUCGGUUGGUUUCCGGAUCUGUCAAGAGGAUUCUUGGUAAUUCUCUCAUUGUGCUUCUAAUUGCUUUCUAAUUAUCUUUGUUCUUCAAUAUUAUGAAUAUGACUUUGUUCUACUUCAAUAUAUUGCUUAUGACUUUGCUCUACUUGUUUAUAUUCAAGAUUAUAUUGUUCUUAGUUUAUCAUAGUUAUGUACUUGGCUUAGUUAGAUUGGAUCUAUAUACAUGCUUAGGAUCGUAUAGCGUUUAUCCAUCGGAUCCUUGGGUAAAUGAUAGAUAUUGUGUAGGCGUGGUGCUUUUACCGUAUUUAUCUGCGAUUGUACCCAAUCUGCC